Pangasianodon hypophthalmus (striped catfish) is the source of this 1502-nucleotide long non-coding RNA. RefSeq lists it as uncharacterized. Lineage: Eukaryota; Metazoa; Chordata; Actinopteri; Siluriformes; Pangasiidae. The transcript is spliced from 3 exons. The record is from RefSeq and is a predicted model, not a curated record.
UCUAUUAAAGGAAAAUGAAAGUAACUCAAACUCAAGGAACACAAUCUCACAGACUGAUCAAACUGUCUAGAGAAUUUCACUUUAUAAUCACAUAUGCCACAAUAUAAUGAUUGUAGCUUUCUGUAAAUAAACCAAUUAAUGAUACAAUAAUGCAAUCCUAUAGUCAUGUGUGAUGCAAAAAUCCAGGUUUGCAACAAAUUUAAGCAUCUAGAAACUCUCUCAAGCCAGAUGUGAGAGUUUAAUAAUACAGAAGAGCCUCACAUCAUGAAUAGAACCAAACUGGUGUUUUUAUAAAGAGUUUGGGUCAGUUUCUGUCACAAGCUUUUAUAUAAAAGUUUUUUUUUUUUUUACUGUACUAGACAUUCAAAGAGCGAUUUGGACAAACCCAGGCAUAUGAAAAAGUCAGAGCAAGAUACACUUUUGGUCCAGUGACAACUUUAGAUCCCAAACAACAUACGAUUGUGUGCACAUGCAUAUAUUUUAGGACCCAAACCUAUUCGUUUGUUUAUUUAUCAUCUCACAUUUAUGACUGUGUCUGUGGUGUCCUGAGAGGGACUAGCAUUCCAUCUAGUGUAUUUUCCUGCCUUGUGCUCUGGAUCCACUGCAAUCCUGACUAUAUUAAAGCACUUACUAAAAAUGAAUGAAUAAACAAAGCUCUCCCACAUCCAGCUUUGGCAACGCUGUUGAACCUGACAACUUGUUCAUGUUCGUGGAUGUGCUGAUCAGUUUUCACAGAUGUCUUAAGUAUCUGAGUCAUAAGGGACACCCCUGCAUGCUUCAAGACCAAGAUCAUUAUCCCCCUAGCAAAGCAGUUAACAGUAUUCAUUCUCUCUGUCAGCUCACACUGUUCAUCAUGAAGUACUUUGAGAGGCUAGUCCUGAAGCAAUAAAGACAAAACUCCACUUCCCUGGACCAAGUGCUGUAUGUUUAUUGCCCCAAGAGGUAUAGGGGUGAUGACAUUACUACCUCAUAGGGAAGCAUAACCUGAACACUGCAUAUGCAACUGGAUCCUGGAUUUGCACAAAGCCACUGCGGACAUAACAAAAUUUCAGGGGUACGUGCAGUGAACUAUUUCCACUCCUCCAUUAUGGAAGUUUCCUGGUGCACACAUUGCACCAUCUACACAGAUAAGAAGCCCAGCAGAAGAGAACACCUCCUCUCCAAUCCCACGUGCAUUGCGUACAGCAGGAGGAUUACAGUUGUUCCAGCUGAACUCCCGUGAUAGUCAUAAUGAAUCAUCAGUCAUGGGGUUCCUCACGUGGCUUCUUAGAGGAAAAUCCACACUCAGUUUUGGAGGAUGGAGUUGAACAUGGUGCAAAACCCCCCCUGACUUUUCUACAGACAGCAUCCUCAAUCCAUGGAAGGAAGGGCACUGAGAUAUAAGCAGACAUGAGCUUCCAUGCUGCGCGCUCUCAGUUCCAGAAUCAGUGAUUUCAGCUGAGCUACACCAACAUCCACAGGAGUGCUGUUUAAGAUUUUCCUACAUUUCUUAGUGUAAUAUC